GACGAAGGUGGCAAGCGUUGUUCGGAAUUACUGGGCGUAAAGCGCGUGUAGGCGGUUGAGCGGGUCAGAUGUGAAAGCCUUCCGCUUAACGGAAGAAGUGCAUUUGAAACUACUCAACUGGAGUUCGGGAGAGGAGAGUGGAAUUCCCGGUGUAGAGGUGAAAUUCGUAGAUAUCGGGAGGAACACCGGUGGCGAAGGCGGCUCUCUGGCCCGGUACUGACGCUGAGACGCGAAAGCGUGGGGAGCAAAC
RNAcentral lists this ribosomal RNA (250 nucleotides) under uncultured bacterium. RNAcentral's name for it is "partial 16S ribosomal RNA". It matches the Rfam family "Bacterial small subunit ribosomal RNA", at positions 524 to 773 of the family's 1533-position model. The record is from RNAcentral.